AGUGAACGCUGGCGGUAGGCCUAACACAUGCAAGUCGAACGGCAGCACAGUAAGAGCUUGCUCUUACGGGUGGCGAGUGGCGGACGGGUGAGGAAUACAUCGGAAUCUACUUUUUCGUGGGUGAUAACGUAGGGAAACUUACGCUAAUACCGCAUACGACCUACGGGUGAAAGCAGGGGAUCUUCGGACCUUGCGCGAUUGAAUGAGCCGAUGUCGGACUAGCUAGUUGGCGGGGUAAAGGCCCACCAAGGCGACGAUCCGUAGCUGGUCUGAGAGGAUGAUCAGCCACACUGGAACUGAGACACGGUCCAGACUCCUACGGGAGGCAGCAGUGGGGAAUAUUGGGCAAUGGGCGCAAGCCUGAUCCAGCCAUACCGCGUGGGUGAAGAAGGCCUUCGGGUUGUAAAGCCCUUUUGUUGGGAAAGAAAAGCAGCAGAUUAAUACCCCGCUGUUCUGACGGUACCCAAAGAAUAAGCACCGGCUAACUUCGUG
Molecule: ribosomal RNA, 492 nt
Filed under: uncultured bacterium
Lineage: Bacteria
Description: partial 16S ribosomal RNA
Rfam family: Bacterial small subunit ribosomal RNA
Source: RNAcentral